CCGGCACGGGUGAGUAACACGUAUCCAACCUGCCGUCUACUCUUGGACAGCCUUCUGAAAGGAAGAUUAAUACAAGAUGGCAUCAUGAGUCCGCAUGUUCACAUGAUUAAAGGUAUUCCGGUAGACGAUGGGGAUGCGUUCCAUUAGAUAGUGGGCGGGGUAACGGCCCACCUAGUCUUCGAUGGAUAGGGGUUCUGAGAGGAAGGUCCCCCACAUUGGAACUGAGACACGGUCCAA
Molecule: ribosomal RNA, 237 nt
Filed under: uncultured bacterium
Lineage: Bacteria
Description: partial 16S ribosomal RNA
Rfam family: Bacterial small subunit ribosomal RNA
Source: RNAcentral